CCUACGGGGGGCAGCAGUGGGGGAUAUUGCACAAUGGGGGGAACCCUGAUGCAGCGACGCCGCGUGGGUGAAGAAGCGCCUCGGCGCGUAAAGCCCUGUCAGCAGGGAAGAAAAGGACGGUACCUGAAGAAGAAGCCCCGGCUAACUACGUGCCAGCAGCCGCGGGAAUACGUAGGGGGCAAGCGUGAUCCGGAUUUACGGGGGGUAAAGGGGGCGCAGACGGGGAUGCAAGCCAGGAGGGAAAGCCCGGGGCCCAACCCCGGGACUGCUCUGGGAACUGCGUGGCUGGAGUGCAGGAGGGGCAGGCGGAAUUCCUGGUGUAGCGGUGAAAUGCGUAGAUAUCAGGAGGAACACCGGUGGCGAAGGCGGCCUGCUGGACUGCAACUGACGUUGAGGCCCGAAAGCGUGGGGAGCAAACAGGAUUAGAUACCCUAGUAGUC
RNAcentral lists this ribosomal RNA (440 nucleotides) under uncultured bacterium. RNAcentral's name for it is "partial 16S ribosomal RNA". It matches the Rfam family "Bacterial small subunit ribosomal RNA", at positions 338 to 795 of the family's 1533-position model. The record is from RNAcentral.